This 65-nucleotide transfer RNA is filed under the name Kentrochrysalis streckeri. RNAcentral describes it as "tRNA-Pro". Lineage: Eukaryota; Metazoa; Arthropoda; Insecta; Lepidoptera; Sphingidae. The record is from RNAcentral.
CAAAAAAUAGUUUAUAAAAAUAAUAAUUUUGGAGAUUAUUGAUAAAGGAUCACCUUUUUUUUUGA